This 78-nucleotide small RNA is filed under the name Xanthomonas euvesicatoria. RNAcentral describes it as "sX9". The record is from RNAcentral. Lineage: Bacteria; Pseudomonadati; Pseudomonadota; Gammaproteobacteria; Lysobacterales; Lysobacteraceae.
AUGCGCCACGUGUGCACUGUGUUCCCGCGUGCCGUGCACACCCAACGGAUGGCCGCUCGCGACGCCUUCCAUCACGCC